Molecule: long non-coding RNA, 2873 nt
Organism: Centropristis striata (black sea bass)
Lineage: Eukaryota; Metazoa; Chordata; Actinopteri; Perciformes; Serranidae
Exons: 3
Source: RefSeq, a predicted model, not a curated record
AUUAUGUGCAAGCAACCUUGAAAAGAAAUGUGAAAACCCUCAGUCCAAAGACAUGACACUCCUCCUGAGGUACAUAUCAGGGGCAGGGUGGGACAGUCAUCCACAACAUCUUCAUAAUCCAAAGGGCAUGUUUGAAAAAGCAGGAACAGUGGCCCAAAGGCCACCCUGAUACCUGUCCCCUUUAUCCCACCGUCCCACCGGACAACCUAAAAUAGCAGGAAGAAAACAAUAUGAAACACAGAAAAAGAGGGAAGCAGCAGGAUGACCACUGCAAGAUCAUAAUGAACUAGUGUACACAUAGUCAACACAUGAUUUUUUAGACAAAUAGUAGAAAAGUAGCACAACUUUCAGAAACGAGAAAAAAGUAACUUCCACAAUAUUCGUUCACUUUAUCUCAGUGCACUCAGCUGAAAGUUAACAGUGUGACCCCCAAACAAAAAUAUUUAAGAAAUCCGGUCGCAGUAGCCGGUCGCAUUAGCCAGUCACAUUAGCCGGUCGCAUUAGCAGGUCACAUUAGCCGGUCGCAUUAGCAGGUCGAUGGCACAAAGUGUCGGACGGAGGUCAACCAGAAAGGGGGCCGUAUUAACCCGCUGAAACAACGCAUAUUGCCACCCAGUGUUGAGGAAGAGGACACGUUCCCAUCAGUUAUUCGAUUUCUCAGUUACAUGUAAACUGGGACAAGGACAGAAACGCACUGAAUGACAUGUAACUGAUAGCAUGAUGUUAAGGCUAAGGCAACUGGUUGCUAACGAGCAUUUUAUUGAGUUCACACAGACGUCCAAAUCAAUAGAUGAUAAAGCAAAUAUAUUACAUAUAGCGUCUACAUCCUUGCCAGUUGAGGUUUAACACGCAAGGAGCUUCAGCGCUUUUUGGGAUUUGUAAAACUUUGACACUUCAUCCAGACCUACAGGUCAGUGGUAUCUUCCCUAACCUACCUCACCACCAAGAAUGUGUCCUUUCGGGGGUCCCCUGCAACUGAAGAAGGGUUUUGUGUGUUAAAGGCAUGUUUCGCCUCUGCUCCCAUUCUCAUCUUUCCAGAUCCUGAUCCUUGCUGAGGAUCUGGAGGUUCACCUGUGUCCUUUCUCCUCAUGGAAAUUGUCCCCAGCAGAGAGCAAUUUUGACAUUGGGAACCAGGAACUGUUGGCAGUGAAGCUCGCACUGGAGAAAUGGAGACACUGGUUAGAGGGGACAGAGCAGCCAUUCAUUGUCUGGAAAUCUGGACCUUGAAUGGUCAGCACAGAGCCCUGAUCUCAUCCCUACUGUGGCAGGUUGCGUUUCUCCUCCUUUCCAGCCCGCUUAAUUGGUAGCAGGCGGUGCGCAAUUACUCCUCGGCGUCUUGAUUACAGGGCGGUGCCGUGCACCUUUAUACCAAGUUGGCCGGCUGCUUCUCUGAUCACACUCUCUGACUGUCUUCAGAGCCUGAUGUCUGGUCCUUUGCUGCAGUUUGGCGUGGCUAUGCGGCGAUUUGACUACAAGUACAAGGCACUGCUAUUCUCCGGCAGUUUUGCUACGAGCGAAGUUCGCUUCAGGCCUGAGCUUCACCAAGUCUGUGAGCUGGCAAAGUGCGCAGCGGCCAUAUGUCUCUCCCCUCUCAUCCACACUGAGUGACAGCUGUGCUCGCUUGGUGGUAUGUAUGCCUGUGAUGCUAUAAUUCAUUUUAGCGCACUUACAAUUUGAUAACCGUUUUAUUGUAUGUUAUAGGGUCUAAAGGCCAGGCGGCGCACCAAGCACGGCAUUUGGUCCUCAACCUCUGGCCUCUGGCACGUGCUGCUGUUCUGUCUCUACUGUGAAUCUUUAUAUAUUGUAUGACUCUACUGCUCCAGGUCCAUCUGGCCAGAGCAGUAUCGUGCAGUUGUGCACAAAAACUUCUCUCUGGAGUCUUGCGUAUGGUGCUGUUUUUAUAUUUUGCUGACCAUAUGUCUACCUGUGCUCAUACCUGAGUGUGAAUUUAUCCUGUUGUGUUACAUUUAUUUUCAGUUAUCCCUAACUGUGUUUCUUGUUUGUUUGGUUUGUUUGUUUAUUUCCUUUGGAGCAUUUAGGCUUACACCUCAUGGUGAAUAGUCUGUUGGUUUUACAGAUUUAAUUUGACUGUUUAUUGUGAUUGGGUGGGAUUUCAUUUUACUUUUGGGGAUGUAUUUUUGAUUUUGUUUCUGUUGUAACACUCUGGUCUGUGUACUGACUGUGUUUCCUCUGUUGGGCAGUGGCAGUGGACUCCCUGGUGGCGGUGUCCCCUCACUCAUCCCUUUUGUUAAUACAUUUUUGUAUGAGUUUGAUGUGUCUCUGUCCGUUCUUAACCGAACCUGUGUGAACUCUGGUGUGUGUAAAGGGUAAAAUUUCCUGGGGGAAUUUCGCCCCUAGGUGGCGUUGUCGUCAACAUUUAAUAAUUACUGUCUGAGUUCCACUCGUCACACUACCAGGAAGUGGACUGAGGAUAUUGGUUUCUGCUAAAACAUGUCUAACAUGGAUAAAGAAGUUAUGAUAUAGAUAUACAUAUAUAACACAGACACAAAAAGCUUUGUAUUUCUGCCAACUCACUCUUUUUGUGACUCUUGUAAUACUUAAAUAAUCUUGAGUGAACAUACUCCAUGACGCAUUGCUUUGCCCCCAGUCAGUGUUAAAGUUUGUGUAAAUCAUUGUCAACCUGCGAUGUAAACUGCAAAUGUAUUGGUUGUGGGAGGUAUAAAACUAAAAGGCAGUCAUUUUAGUUUUAAACAGAGAAUAAAUUAUCCUUUUUUCCUGAUUCUUAUCCACUGUGUUUCUUAUCUACAUUUGAUGCAUUUCCCAUCAGGUGUCAUUAUGAGUAAUGGGAGCAUAUGGAAGCAGCAGAGGCGUUUUGCACUUUCAACACUCAGAUAUUUUGGAUUUGGCGGAAG